Molecule: long non-coding RNA, 817 nt
Filed under: Daphnia magna
Lineage: Eukaryota; Metazoa; Arthropoda; Branchiopoda; Diplostraca; Daphniidae
Description: uncharacterized LOC123471351, transcript variant X1
Source: RNAcentral
CAACGAAAAUAAAAAAGUAAUGGGGUUAGGGUAACCUGUGCAACCUGUUGGCCUCAACUACAUGAAAGUAGCACAAUGCAUAGUAAGAAAUACAAAUUAUGUACAUAGGCAAGUACGGAAAACAUUGGCAGGCUCGCAGGCAAUGAUGCUGACUUUUGGUAUUGGAAAGAUUCCGAUUCAUUUCUACAAACGAAUGAUUUCUUGUGUCACAUUUGUUAUUUCCCAUCUGUAUUUCUCUUUGUGUAGAAGAAUUGCAAAGUUACAUUAAAGAAAGUGGAGGGGAAAUUGUUACAGGGAGAGUUUUGAAGCAUGUUAUGACAACAUUGUCUCCAACAGACUUUAAUAUAACAGUAAACGAUCCCGAUCAUGAUUUUUUUCGUGGCAACACUGUCUCUUUGUGUGAUACUGCAGUCGAAGUCCUCGCGUUCCUGAGGCUCUGAAAGUGAAAGCGUCGCUCCUGCAGUACUGCUGAUGUCGGUCAAGUUGAAUUCAACAUGGUGAAACCUAAUGAAAAGGGAAAGAACGCAUUGCAUUUACGAGAGAUAGAAACAGUUGUUACGAAAAGCCGGUUGUUGGAAGGAACGAGAAGCAAUUCUUUCCAACCUGUUCCAGAUGUUUUGUCUUUGAAGUCGUCAUCCCUAACUGAACGCGAAGAAGAACUUUCAAGGGGUUUUCUUAAGUAUAAAAAAGGUAUAUCAUUCUUAAAUGAUGCCCACCUGCAAGUCUAAUGAGAAAUGUUGUGUGUUGUUAUUCUUCUCAUGUUAUUCUUCUCACUGAAUAACCAAGUCCUGAAUAAAACACGAGACUGCUAUUAGUA